This 133-nucleotide ribosomal RNA is filed under the name uncultured Smithella sp. RNAcentral describes it as "partial 16S ribosomal RNA". It matches the Rfam family "Bacterial small subunit ribosomal RNA", at positions 1249 to 1382 of the family's 1533-position model. Lineage: Bacteria; Pseudomonadati; Thermodesulfobacteriota; Syntrophia; Syntrophales; Smithellaceae. The record is from RNAcentral.
GCAAUCUCGCAAGAGCAAGCAAACCUCAAAAGCCAUCCUCAGUUCGGAUUGGAGUCUGCAACUCGACUCCAUGAAGUCGGAAUCGCUAGUAAUCGCGGAUCAGCACGCCGCGGUGAAUACGUUCCCGGGCCUU